UGCAAUUCGUUGCACUAUCGUUAACUGAAUACAUAGGUUAACGAGGCGAACCGGGGGAACUGAAACAUCUAAGUACCCCGAGGAAAAGAAAUCAACCGAGAUUCCCCCAGUAGCGGCGAGCGAACGGGGAGCAGCCCAGAGUCUGAAUCAGCUUGUGUGUUAGUGGAACGGUCUGGAAAGUCCGACGGUACAGGGUGAUAGUCCCGUACACCAAAAUGCACAGGUUGUGAACUCGAAGAGUAGGGCGGGACACGUGGUAUCCUGUCUGAAUAUGGGGGGACCAUCCUCCAAGGCUAAAUACUCCUGACUGACCGAUAGUGAACCAGUACCGUGAGGGAAAGGCGAAAAGAACCCCGGCGAGGGGAGUGAAAAAGAACCUGAAACCGUGUACGUACAAGCAGUGGGAGCACCUUCGGGUGUGACUGCGUACCUUUUGUAUAAUGGGUCAGCGACUUAUAUUCUGUAGCAAGGUUAACCGUAUAGGGGAGCCGCAGGGAAACCGAGUCUUAACUGGGCGUUAAGUUGCAGGGUAUAGACCCGAAACCCGGUGAUCUAGCCAUGGGCAGGUUGAAGGUUGGGUAACACUAACUGGAGGACCGAACCGACUAAUGUUGAAAAAUUAGCGGAUGACUUGUGGCUGGGGGUGAAAGGCCAAUCAAACCGGGAGAUAGCUGGUUCUCCCCGAAAGCUAUUUAGGUAGCGCCUCGUGAACUCAUCUUCGGGGGUAGAGCACUGUUUCGGCUAGGGGGUCAUCCCGACUUACCAACCCGAUGCAAACUACGAAUACCGAAGAAUGUUAUCACGGGAGACACACGGCGGGUGCUAACGUCCGUCGUGAAGAGGGAAACAACCCAGACCGCCAGCUAAGGUCCCAAAGUCAUGGUUAAGUGGGAAACGAUGUGGGAAGGCACAGACAGCCAGGAUGUUGGCUUAGAAGCAGCCAUCAUUUAAAGAAAGCGUAAUAGCUCACUGGUCGAGUCGGCCUGCGCGGAAGAUGUAACGGGGCUAAACCAUGCACCGAAGCUGCGGCAGCGACACUAUGUGUUGUUGGGUAGGGGAGCGUUCUGUAAGCCUGCGAAGGUGUGCUGUGAGGCAUGCUGGAGGUAUCAGAAGUGCGAAUGCUGACAUAAGUAACGAUAAAGCGGGUGAAAAGCCCGCUCGCCGGAAGACCAAGGGUUCCUGUCCAACGUUAAUCGGGGCAGGGUGAGUCGACCCCUAAGGCGAGGCCGAAAGGCGUAGUCGAUGGGAAACAGGUUAAUAUUCCUGUACUUGGUGUUACUGCGAAGGGGGGACGGAGAAGGCUAUGUUAGCCGGGCGACGGUUGUCCCGGUUUAAGCAUGUAGGCUGAUUGUCCAGGCAAAUCCGGAUAAUCAAGGCUGAGGUGUGAUGACGAGGCACUACGGUGCUGAAGUAACAAAUGCCCUGCUUCCAGGAAAAGCCUCUAAGCAUCAGGUAACAUUAAAUCGUACCCCAAACCGACACAGGUGGUCAGGUAGAGAAUACCAAGGCGCUUGAGAGAACUCGGGUGAAGGAACUAGGCAAAAUGGUGCCGUAACUUCGGGAGAAGGCACGCUGGUGUGUAGGUGAAGUCCCUGCGGAUGGAGCUGAGACCAGUCGAAGAUACCAGCUGGCUGCAACUGUUUAUUAAAAACACAGCACUGUGCAAACACGAAAGUGGACGUAUACGGUGUGACGCCUGCCCGGUGCCGGAAGGUUAAUUGAUGGGGUUAUCCGUAAGGAGAAGCUCUUGAUCGAAGCCCCGGUAAACGGCGGCCGUAACUAUAACGGUCCUAAGGUAGCGAAAUUCCUUGUCGGGUAAGUUCCGACCUGCACGAAUGGCGUAAUGAUGGCCAGGCUGUCUCCACCCGAGACUCAGUGAAAUUGAACUCGCUGUGAAGAUGCAGUGUACCCGCGGCAAGACGGAAAGACCCCGUGAACCUUUACUAUAGCUUGACACUGAACAUUGAGCCUUGAUGUGUAGGAUAGGUGGGAGGCUUUGAAGCGUGGACGCCAGUCUGCGUGGAGCCAACCUUGAAAUACCACCCUUUAAUGUUUGAUGUUCUAACGUUGGCCCCUUACCGGGGUUGCGGACAGUGUCUGGUGGGUAGUUUGACUGGGGCGGUCUCCUCCCAAAGCGUAACGGAGGAGCACGAAGGUUAGCUAAUCCUGGUCGGACAUCAGGAGGUUAGUGCAAUGGCAUAAGCUAGCUUGACUGCGAGCGUGACGGCGCGAGCAGGUGCGAAAGCAGGUCAUAGUGAUCCGGUGGUUCUGAAUGGAAGGGCCAUCGCUCAACGGAUAAAAGGUACUCCGGGGAUAACAGGCUGAUACCGCCCAAGAGUUCAUAUCGACGGCGGUGUUUGGCACCUCGAUGUCGGCUCAUCACAUCCUGGGGCUGAAGUAGGUCCCAAGGGUAUGGCUGUUCGCCAUUUAAAGUGGUACGCGAGCUGGGUUUAGAACGUCGUGAGACAGUUCGGUCCCUAUCUGCCGUGGGCGCUGGAGAAUUGAGGGGGGCUGCUCCUAGUACGAGAGGACCGGAGUGGACGCAUCACUGGUGUUCGGGUUGUCAUGCCAAUGGCACUGCCCGGUAGCUAAAUGCGGAAGAGAUAAGUGCUGAAAGCAUCUAAGCACGAAACUUGCCCCGAGAUGAGUUCUCCCUGAGACUUUAAGUCUCCUGAAGGAACGUUGAAGACGACGACGUUGAUAGGCCGGGUGUGUAAGCGCAGCGAUGCGUUGAGCUAACCGGUACUAAUGAACCGUGAGGCUUAACCUU
This 2770-nucleotide ribosomal RNA is filed under the name Klebsiella pneumoniae. RNAcentral describes it as "bacterial LSU rRNA". It matches the Rfam family "Bacterial large subunit ribosomal RNA". Lineage: Bacteria; Pseudomonadati; Pseudomonadota; Gammaproteobacteria; Enterobacterales; Enterobacteriaceae. The record is from RNAcentral.